Molecule: ribosomal RNA, 411 nt
Filed under: uncultured fungus
Lineage: Eukaryota; Fungi
Description: eukaryotic LSU rRNA
Rfam family: 5.8S ribosomal RNA (bases 106-258)
Source: RNAcentral
UCCUCGGCCUUCAACCUUGUAAACCCGUGGAAGCAAGACGUGCUUCGGCGCUUCGGCGCCGCGUUUAUGCAGCAAAGCGUUUGUCUGAACAAAAGCAAGAAUUAAAACUUUCAACAAAGGAUCUCUUGGCUCUCGCAUUCGAUGAAGAACGCAGCGAAGCGCGAAAUGUAGUGUGAAUCGCAGAACAUUGUGAAUCAUCGAAUCUUUGAACGCACAUUGCGCCUCUCUUUACCGGGAGGCAUGCCUGUCUGAGCGUCAUUUAAACCGUAGCCCCNAAAGGGUCUGUCUUGGGCUUCGCCGGUCGGCGUCGCCUCGAAGCGAUCGGUCUAAAGAGCGGACGAGAUCCACUGGGACUUAUCGCUUUGAGACCUUAAACCUCAGACUUGACCUCAUGAUCAGGUAGGGCUACCC